RNAcentral lists this ribosomal RNA (2998 nucleotides) under marine sediment metagenome. Its description in RNAcentral is "bacterial LSU rRNA". It matches the Rfam family "Bacterial large subunit ribosomal RNA". The record is from RNAcentral.
AGGGUGCAAGGUGGAUGUCUAGGCGUGAUGAGGCGAUGAAGGACGUGGUAGGCUGCGAUAAGCCCAGGGGAGCUGCCAAACGAGCGUUGAUCCUGGGAUCUCCGAAUGGGGAAACCCACCGUCACUGUGAAAGCAGAUGGCGGUACCGGCGGGUGAAUGCAUAGCCCGUCGGGGCGAACGCAGGGAACUGAAACAUCUCAGUACCUGCAGGAAAGGAAAUCAACCGAGACUCCGUGAGUAGCGGCGAGCGAAAGCGGAUGAGCCCAAACCUCGCACCUUCGGGUGCGGGGGGUUGCGGACGUCGAUCUGGAGUUACAAAGGCAGCGGUAGCCGAAGAGUCUGGAAAGGCUCACGAUACAGGGUGACAGUCCCGUAGGCGACGCCGCGAGCCCUCCAUUAUGGUCGACGAUCCAGAGUAGCGCGGAUGCCGUGGAACUCCGCGUGAAGCUGGGGGGCCCACCCUCCAAGGCUAAGUACUCCAUCACGACCGAUAGUGGACCAGUAGGGCGACUGAACGAUGAAAAGAACCCCUAUUAGGGGAGUGAAAAGUACCUGAAACCUUGCACCUACAAGUGGUCGGAGCCCUAUGGGCCGGUCUUCGGACCGGUCAAUGGGUGACGGCGUACCUUUUGCAUAAUGGGCCGGCGAGUUACCAUCUGCGGCUGCCUAAGUGGUUAAGCCACGGAGGCGUAGCGAAAGCGAGUCUGAAUAGGGCGUCGUUCAUCCACUUAUAGUGGAUGAACAGGUCGCAGGUGGUAGACCCGAAACCGAGUGAUCUACCCAUGGCCAGGCUGAAUCCCGAGUAAAAUCGGGAGGAGGGCCGAACCCGUCCACGUUGAAAAGUGGUGGGAUGAGCUGUGGGGAGGAGUGAAAGUCUAAUCAAACUCGGAGAUAUCUGGUUCUCUCCGAAAUAGCUUUAGGGCUAGCCUCGAGUAACUACAUCGCGGGGGUAGAGCACUGGAUGAAAUGCGGGGCCCACCAGGCUACCGCCUUCAACCAAACUCCGAAUACCGCGAUGUGUAUCUCGGGAGUCAGACUGCGGGGGAUAAGCUCCGUAGUCAAGAGGGAAACAGCCCAGACCGUCGGAUAAGGUCCCUAAACGAUGCUAAGUGGUUAAGGAAGUCGAAUUGCUGAGACAGCCAGGAUGUUGGCUUAGAAGCAGCCACCAUUUAAAGAUCGCGUAAUAGCCCACUGGUCGAGCAAUUCGGCGCCGAUAAUGAUCGGGGCUUAAGCAUCGUACCGAAGCCGCGGAUCUGUUCAGUGUUUCACUGAACAGGUGGUAGGAGAGCGUUGCUGUCAGCGCUGAAGCGGUACCGUGAGGAGCCGUGGAGCGGCAGCAAGUGAGAAUGCCGGCAUGAGUAACGAUAAAGCAGGUGAAAAUCCUGCUCGCCGAAAGCCUAAGGUUUCCUGGGGAAGGUAAAUCCGCCCAGGGUUAGUCGGACCCUAAGUCGAGGCCGAAAGGCGUAGACGAUGGACAGCAGGUUAAUAUUCCUGCACUGCGCGCCGGAGGUUUGUACCAGAGGGGUGACGCAUCACCAAGGUAGAUCGCGCGAUUAGUCGUGCGCGUUGGGGGCGGCGUGGUGGUCGGAUUAAUAGUUCGACCGCAACCCACGCCGUCAGCUCGAGGCCGAUUUGUUGCCGAAGUCUGCGGAGGUGGUGCCGAGAAAAACCUCGCUGGGACGAAGGCGCGUAUCCGUACCAAAACUGACACAGGUAGGCGAGGAGAGUAUCCUAAGGCGCUCGAGAGAACCGUCCUCAAGGAACUAGGCAACUUGACCCCGUAACUUCGGGAGAAGGGGUCCCUCCUCGUUCGGUUGCAUUUAUGUAACCGAGCGAGAGGGCGCAGAGAAUCGGCUCUGGCGACUGUUUAUCAAAAACACAGGACUCUGCUAACUCGUAAGAGGAUGUAUAGAGUCUGACGCCUGCCCGGUGCCGGAAGGUUAAGGAAGCAGGUUAGCCGACCUUCGGGUUGGCGAAGCUUGCGACCGAAGCCCCGGUAAACGGCGGCCGUAACUAUGACGGUCCUAAGGUAGCGAAGUUCCUUGUCGGGUAAGUUCCGACGCGCAUGAAUGGCGUAACGACCGGAGCGGUGUCUCGAGGACGGACUCGGUGAAAUUAUAGACGCGGUGAAGAUACCGCGUACCCGCGGCAAGACGGAAAGACCCCGUGAACCUUUACUGCAGCCUGGUAUUGGUAACUUGUUGUACAUGCGUAGGAUAGGUGGGAGGCGAUGAAGCCUCGGUUCCGGCCGGGGCAGAGCCGUCCUUGAAAUACCACCCUUGUGCAAUGGGUUACCUAACCCCGACCCGUGAAUCCGGGCGGGGGACAGUGCUAGGUGGGCAGUUUGACUGGGGCGGUCUCCUCCUAAAAGGUAACGGAGGAGUUCAAAGGUCUCCUCAGCACGGUUGGCAAUCGUGCGUUGAGUGCAAAGGCAUAAGGAGGCUUGACUGCGAGACCCAUAAGUCGAGCAGGUGCGAAAGCAGGACUUAGUGACCCGGUGGUCCCGUGUGGAAGGGCCAUCGCUUAACAGAUAAAAGGUACUCCGGGGAUAACAGGCUGAUCUCCCCCGAGCGUCCAAAGCGACGGGGAGGUUUGGCACCUCGAUGUCGGCUCGUCGCAUCCUGGGGCUGAAGGCGGUCCCAAGGGUUUGGCUGUUCGCCAAUUAAAGCGGCACGCGAGCUGGGUUCAGACCGGCGUGAGCCAGGUCGGUCCCUAUCUGCCGUGGGCGUAGGAAUCUUGAGGGGAUCCUUCCUUAGUACGAGAGGACUGGGAAGGACCGACCUCUGGUGUACCAGUUGUCGCGCUAGCGGCACGGCUGGGUAGCUAUGUCGGGAAAGGAUAACCGCUGAAGGCAUCUAAGCGGGAAGCCCACCCCAAGAUUAGGAUUCCAUGUCGUCUUCGGACGACGAGAGCCCCCUGGAAGACUACCAGGUUGAUAGGCCGGAGGUGUAAGGUCAGAAAUGGCCUUAGCUAACCGGUACUAACGGGCGAUCGCUUG